AACGCGAAGAACCUUACCUACUCUUGACAUCCAGAGAACUUAGCAGAGAUGCUUUGGUGCCUUCGGGAACUCUGAGACAGGUGCUGCAUGGCUGUCGUCAGCUCGUGUUGUGAAAUGUUGGGUUAAGUCCCGCAACGAGCGCAACCCUUAUCCUUUGUUGCCAGCGAUUCGGUCGGGAACUCAAAGGAGACUGCCAGUGAUAAACUGGAGGAAGGUGGGGAUGACGUCAAGUCAUCAUGGCCCUUACGAGUAGGGCUACACACGUGCUACAAUGGCAUAUACAAAGAGAAGCGACCUCGCGAGAGCAAGCGGACCUCAUAAAGUAUGUCGUAGUCCGGAUUGGAGUCUGCAACUCGACUCCAUGAAGUCGGAAUCGCUAGUAAUCGUAGAUCAGAACGCUACGGUGAAUACGUUCCCGGGUCUUGUACACACCG
RNAcentral lists this ribosomal RNA (434 nucleotides) under uncultured bacterium. RNAcentral describes it as "bacterial SSU rRNA". It matches the Rfam family "Bacterial small subunit ribosomal RNA", at positions 958 to 1392 of the family's 1533-position model. The record is from RNAcentral.